GAUGAAGAACGUAGCGAAAUGCGAUAAGUAAUGUGAAUUGCAGAAUUCAGUGAAUCAUCGAAUCUUUGAACGCACCUUGCGCCCUUUGGCCAUUCCGAAGGGCAUGCCUGUUUGAGUAUCAUGAACACCUCAACUCUUCAUGGUUUUCCGUGAUGAGCUUGGACUUUGGGGGUCUUGCUGGCCUAUGGUCAGCUCCUCUAAAAUAAAUCAGCUUGCCAGUGUUUGGUGGGUAUCACAGGUGUGAUAACUAUCUACGCUUGUGGUUCUCCACCAGGUAACCUUCAGCAGUGGAGGUUCGCUGGAGCUCACAGAUGUGUCUCUCCUCAGUGAGGACAGCUCUUUGAAUGUUUGAUCUCAAAUCAGGUAGGACUACCCGCUGAACUUAAGCAUAUCAAUAAGCGGAGGA
RNAcentral lists this unclassified non-coding RNA (406 nucleotides) under soil metagenome. RNAcentral describes it as "partial contains 5.8S ribosomal RNA, internal transcribed spacer 2, and large subunit ribosomal RNA". The stretch from base 1 to 121 matches the Rfam family "5.8S ribosomal RNA", at positions 35 to 154 of the family's 154-position model. The record is from RNAcentral.